Long non-coding RNA from Cyprinodon tularosa, 348 nucleotides. RefSeq lists it as uncharacterized. The record is from RefSeq and is a predicted model, not a curated record. NCBI's taxonomy places the organism in Eukaryota, Metazoa, Chordata, Actinopteri, Cyprinodontiformes, Cyprinodontidae. The transcript has 3 exons.
CUCCCUCUGCUCCAGCACCACCUCCCUCUGCCCCAUCAUCUCCCUCUGCUCCAGCACCACCUGAUACGCAGAGAAAAUCCCUAGCAGAGAAAUAUGUCCAUGAAGCUUUUUCUGGAAAAAACGUCUUUGUCCUUCUGUCAAAAGUGAAUGCAUAUAAGUUGUUUUACUCUGACAUUUACAAAAUUGGUCCUGGCAUGGAACUGGUGAGUCAGAUCCUCUGUGACAUGUGCCUGAGGUGGUUCCAUCAGGCGUGUGUGGCUAGCCCACCAACUGAAAAAAACUUUUACUGCUUUGCAUGUUUGCCUUAGGUUCCUGAGUUUGCUGUGGUGUGCUGGUUUAUGCAUGUUG